RNAcentral lists this ribosomal RNA (460 nucleotides) under uncultured bacterium. RNAcentral describes it as "partial 16S ribosomal RNA". It matches the Rfam family "Bacterial small subunit ribosomal RNA", at positions 338 to 795 of the family's 1533-position model. The record is from RNAcentral.
CCUACGGGUGGCUGCAGUGAGGAAUAUUGGUCAAUGGGCGCUAGCCUGAACCAGCCAAGUAGCGUGAAGGAUGACUGCCCUAUGGGUUGUAAACUUCUUUUAUAUGGGAAUAAAGUGCAGUAUGUAUACUGCUUUGCAUGUACCUUAUGAAUAAGGAUCGGCUAACUCCGUGCCAGCAGCCGCGGUAAUACGGAGGAUCCGAGCGUUAUCCGGAUUUAUUGGGUUUAAAGGGUGCGUAGGCGGGUUGUUAAGUCAGUUGGGAAAGUUUGGGGCGCAACCGUGAACUUGCAGUUGAUACUGGCAACCUAGAGUACAGUAGAGGUAGGCGGAAUGCGUGGUGUAGCGGUGAAAUGCGUAGAUAGCACGAAGAACUCCGAUUGCGAAGGCAGCCUGCUGGACUGUAACUGACGCUGAUGCUCGAAAGUGUGGGUAUCAAACAGGAUUAGAUACCCGAGUAGUC